GCGGAUGUAGCUCAGUGGGAAGAGCGCGGCCACGCCAUGGCCGAGGCCACGAGUUCGAGACUCGUCAUCCGCUCCA
This 76-nucleotide transfer RNA is filed under the name Ideonella sp. RNAcentral describes it as "tRNA-Gly". It matches the Rfam family "tRNA". From Rfam's summary of the family: Transfer RNA (tRNA) molecules are approximately 80 nucleotides in length. Their secondary structure includes four short double-helical elements and three loops (D, anti-codon, and T loops). Lineage: Bacteria; Pseudomonadati; Pseudomonadota; Betaproteobacteria; Burkholderiales; Sphaerotilaceae. The record is from RNAcentral.